CACUCCUGCGGGAGGCAGCAGUGGGGAAUUUUGGACAAUGGGCGAAAGCCUGAUCCAGCCAUGCCGCGUGCAGGAUGAAGGCCUUCGGGUUGUAAACUGCUUUUGUACGGAACGAAACGGCCUUUUCUAAUAAAGAGGGCUAAUGACGGUACCGUAAGAAUAAGCACCGGCUAACUACGUGCCAGCAGCCGCGGUAAUACGUAGGGUGCAAGCGUUAAUCGGAAUUACUGGGCGUAAAGCGUGCGCAGGCGGUUAUGUAAGACAGUUGUGAAAUCCCCGGGCUCAACCUGGGAACUGCAUCUGUGACUGCAUAGCUAGAGUACGGUAGAGGGGGAUGGAAUUCCGCGUGUAGCAGUGAAAUGCGUAGAUAUGCGGAGGAACACCGAUGGCGAAGGCAAUCCCCUGGACCUGUACUGACGCUCAUGCACGAAAGCGUGGGGAGCAAACAGGAUUAGAAACCCUGGUAGUCCCAUGAU
This 476-nucleotide ribosomal RNA is filed under the name uncultured organism. RNAcentral describes it as "partial 16S ribosomal RNA". It matches the Rfam family "Bacterial small subunit ribosomal RNA", at positions 334 to 801 of the family's 1533-position model. The record is from RNAcentral.